GAUGAACGCUGGCUACAGGCUUAACACAUGCAAGUCGAGGGGAAACGACGGGGAAGCUUGCUUCCCCGGGCGUCGACCGGCGCACGGGUGAGUAACGCGUAUCCAACCUGCCUCUGACUGAGGGAUAACCCGUCGAAAGUCGGCCUAAUACCUCAUGGCAUCGUCUGCGGGCAUCCAACGACGAUUAAAGAUUUCAUCGGUCAGGGAUGGGGAUGCGUCUGAUUAGCUUGUUGGCGGGGUAACGGCCCACCAAGGCUACGAUCAGUAGGGGUUCUGAGAGGAAGGUCCCCCACAUUGGAACUGAGACACGGUCCAAACUCCUACGGGAGGCAGCAGUGAGGAAUAUUGGUCAAUGGGCGGGAGCCUGAACCAGCCAAGUAGCGUGCAGGAUGACGGCCCUAUGGGUUGUAAACUGCUUUUAUGCGGGGAUAAAGUGGGGGACGUGUCCUUCAUUGCAGGUACCGCAUGAAUAAGGACCGGCUAAUUCCGUG
RNAcentral lists this ribosomal RNA (491 nucleotides) under uncultured bacterium. Its description in RNAcentral is "partial 16S ribosomal RNA". It matches the Rfam family "Bacterial small subunit ribosomal RNA", at positions 28 to 507 of the family's 1533-position model. The record is from RNAcentral.